RNAcentral lists this ribosomal RNA (1465 nucleotides) under uncultured bacterium. RNAcentral's name for it is "bacterial SSU rRNA". It matches the Rfam family "Bacterial small subunit ribosomal RNA". The record is from RNAcentral.
AUUGAACGCUGGCGGCAGGCCUAACACAUGCAAGUCGAACGGUAACAGGAAGAAGCUUGCUUCUUCGCUGACGAGUGGCGGACGGGUGAGUAAUGUCUGGGAAACUGCCUGAUGGAGGGGGAUAACUACUGGAAACGGUAGCUAAUACCGCAUAACGUCGCAAGACCAAAGAGGGGGACCUUCGGGCCUCUUGCCAUCGGAUGUGCCCAGAUGGGAUUAGCUAGUAGGUGGGGUAACGGCUCACCUAGGCGACGAUCCCUAGCUGGUCUGAGAGGAUGACCAGCCACACUGGAACUGAGACACGGUCCAGACUCCUACGGGAGGCAGCAGUGGGGAAUAUUGCACAAUGGGCGCAAGCCUGAUGCAGCCAUGCCGCGUGUAUGAAGAAGGCCUUCGGGUUGUAAAGUACUUUCAGCGGGGAGGAAGGGAGUAAAGUUAAUACCUUUGCUCAUUGACGUUACCCGCAGAAGAAGCACCGGCUAACUCCGUGCCAGCAGCUGCGGUAAUACGGAGGGUGCAAGCGUUAAUCGGAAUUACUGGGCGUAAAGCGCACGCAGGCGGUUUGUUAAGUCAGAUGUGAAAUCCCCGGGCUCAACCUGGGAACUGCAUCUGAUACUGGCAAGCUUGAGUCUCGUAGAGGGGGGUAGAAUUCCAGGUGUAGCGGUGAAAUGCGUAGAGAUCUGGAGGAAUACCGGUGGCGAAGGCGGCCCCCUGGACGAAGACUGACGCUCAGGUGCGAAAGCGUGGGGAGCAAACAGGAUUAGAUACCCUGGUAGUCCACGCCGUAAACGAUGUCGACUUGGAGGUUGUGCCCUUGAGGCGUGGCUUCCGGAGCUAACGCGUUAAGUCGACCGCCUGGGGAGUACGGCCGCAAGGUUAAAACUCAAAUGAAUUGACGGGGGCCCGCACAAGCGGUGGAGCAUGUGGUUUAAUUCGAUGCAACGCGAAGAACCUUACCUGGUCUUGACAUCCACGGAAGUUUUCAGAGAUGAGAAUGUGCCUUCGGGAACCGUGAGACAGGUGCUGCAUGGCUGUCGUCAGCUCGUGUUGUGAAAUGUUGGGUUAAGUCCCGCAACGAGCGCAACCCUUAUCCUUUGUUGCCAGCGGUCCGGCCGGGAACUCAAAGGAGACUGCCAGUGAUAAACUGGAGGAAGGUGGGGAUGACGUCAAGUCAUCAUGGCCCUUACGACCAGGGCUACACACGUGCUACAAUGGCGCAUACAAAGAGAAGCGACCUCGCGAGAGCAAGCGGACCUCAUAAAGUGCGUCGUAGUCCGGAUUGGAGUCUGCAACUCGACUUCAUGAAGUCGGAAUCGCUAGUAAUCGUGGAUCAGAAUGCCACGGUGAAUACGUUCCCGGGCCUUGUACACACCGCCCGUCACACCAUGGGAGUGGGUUGCAAAAGAAGUAGGUAGCUUAACCUUCGGGAGGGCGCUUACCACUUUGUGAUUCAUGACUGGGGUGA